CCUACGGGACGCAGCAGUGAGGAAUAUUGGUCAAUGGACGAGAGUCUGAACCAGCCAAGUAGCGUGAAGGAUGACUGCCCUAUGGGUUGUAAACUUCUUUUAUAAAGGAAUAAAACGAGGCACGUGUGCCUUUUUGCAUGUACUUUAUGAAUAAGGAUCGGCUAACUCCGUGCCAGCAGCCGCGGUAAUACGGAGGAUCCGAGCGUUAUCCGGAUGUAUUGGGUUUAAAGGGAGCGUAGAUGGGUUGUUAAGUCAGUUGUGAAAGUUUGCGGCUCAACCGUAAAAUUGCAAUUGAUACUGGCAGUCUUGAGUACAGUUGAGGUAGGCGGAAUUCGUGGUGUAGCGGUGAAAUGCUUAGAUAUCACGAAGAACCCCGAUUGCGAAGGCAGCUUACUAAACUGUGACUGACAUUGAUGCUCGAAAGUGUGGGUAUCAAACAGGAUUAGAUACCCUUGUAGUC
Molecule: ribosomal RNA, 460 nt
Filed under: uncultured bacterium
Lineage: Bacteria
Description: partial 16S ribosomal RNA
Rfam family: Bacterial small subunit ribosomal RNA
Source: RNAcentral